Molecule: ribosomal RNA, 446 nt
Filed under: uncultured organism
Description: partial 16S ribosomal RNA
Rfam family: Bacterial small subunit ribosomal RNA
Source: RNAcentral
CACUCCUGCGGGAGGCAGCAGUGGGGAAUAUUGGACAAUGGGCGCAAGCCUGAUCCAGCCAUGCCGCGUGAGUGAUGAAGGCCCUAGGGUUGUAAAGCUCUUUCACCGGUGAAGAUAAUGACGGUAACCGGAGAAGAAGCCCCGGCUAACUUCGUGCCAGCAGCCGCGGUAAUACGAAGGGGGCUAGCGUUGUUCGGAUUUACUGGGCGUAAAGCGCACGUAGGCGGACUAUUAAGUCAGGGGUGAAAUCCCGGGGCUCAACCCCGGAACUGCCUUUGAUACUGGUAGUCUUGAGUUCGAGAGAGGGGAGUGGAAUUCCGAGUGUAGAGGUGAAAUUCGUAGAUAUUCGGAGGAACACCAGUGGCGAAGGCGGCUCACUGGCUCGAUACUGACGCUGAGGUGCGAAAGCGUGGGGAGCAAACAGGAUUAGAUACCCUAGUAGUCCC